RNAcentral lists this ribosomal RNA (252 nucleotides) under uncultured bacterium. RNAcentral's name for it is "partial 16S ribosomal RNA". It matches the Rfam family "Bacterial small subunit ribosomal RNA", at positions 524 to 776 of the family's 1533-position model. The record is from RNAcentral.
UACGUAGGGUGCAAGCGUUAAUCGGAAUUACUGGGCGUAAAGCGUGCGCAGGCGGUUUUGUAAGUCUGUCGUGAAAUCCCCGGGCUCAACCUGGGAAUUGCGAUGGAGACUGCAAGGCUAGAAUCUGGCAGAGGGGGGUAGAAUUCCACGUGUAGCAGUGAAAUGCGUAGAGAUGUGGAGGAACACCGAUGGCGAAGGCAGCCCCCUGGGUCAAGAUUACGCUCAUGCACGAAAGCGUGGGGAGCAAACAGG